This 292-nucleotide ribosomal RNA is filed under the name uncultured bacterium. Its description in RNAcentral is "partial 16S ribosomal RNA". It matches the Rfam family "Bacterial small subunit ribosomal RNA", at positions 505 to 796 of the family's 1533-position model. The record is from RNAcentral.
GUGUCAGCCGCCGCGGUAACACGUAGGAUCCAAGCGUUAUCCGGAUUUACUGGGCGUAAAGCGCGUGCAGGUGGUUUGGUAAGUUGGGUGUUAAAUCUUUCGGCUCAACCGAGAGGUGUCGCUCAAAACUACCAGACUGGAGGACGGUAGAGGUAGGUAGAAUUCCGGGUGUAGUGGUGAAAUGCGUAGAUAUCCGGAGGAAUACCAGUGGCGAAGGCGGCCUACUGGACCGUUCCUGACACUCAGACGCGAAAGCUAGGGGAGCAAACGGGAUUAGAAACCCUCGUAGUCC